AUUGAACGCUGGCGGAAUGCUUUACACAUGCAAGUCGAACGGCAGCACGGACUUCGGUCUGGUGGCGAGUGGCGAACGGGUGAGUAAUGUAUCGGAACGUGCCCAGUCGUGGGGGAUAACGUAGUGAAAAUUACGCUAAUACCGCAUACGAUCUAUGGAUGAAAGCGGGGGAUCGCAAGACCUCGCGCGAUUUGAGCGGCCGAUAGCAGAUUAGGAGGUUGGGGGGGUAAAGGCCCACCAAGCCAACGAUCUGUAGCUGGUCUGAGAGGACGACCAGCCACACUGGAACUGAGACACGGUCCAGACUCCUACGGGAGGCAGCAGUGGGGAAUUUUGGACAAUGGGCGAAAGCCUGAUCCAGCCAUUCCGCGUGCAGGAUGAAGGCCCUCGGGUUGUAAACUGCUUUUGUACAGAACGAAAAGGUUUCUACUAAUACUAGGAGCUCAUGACGGUACUGUAAGAAUAAGCACCGGCUAACUACGUGCCAGCCGCCGCAGUAA
Molecule: ribosomal RNA, 500 nt
Filed under: uncultured bacterium
Lineage: Bacteria
Description: partial 16S ribosomal RNA
Rfam family: Bacterial small subunit ribosomal RNA
Source: RNAcentral